GCCAGAAUGGCGGAAAGAUUACGCAGUGGACUGCAGACUCAUUCUAUCCUGGUUCGAUUCCAGGCUCUGGCU
RNAcentral lists this transfer RNA (72 nucleotides) under Methanosarcina barkeri 3. RNAcentral's name for it is "tRNA-Cys". It matches the Rfam family "tRNA". Rfam says of the family: Transfer RNA (tRNA) molecules are approximately 80 nucleotides in length. Their secondary structure includes four short double-helical elements and three loops (D, anti-codon, and T loops). The record is from RNAcentral. Lineage: Archaea; Methanobacteriati; Methanobacteriota; Methanomicrobia; Methanosarcinales; Methanosarcinaceae.